UGCUCCGUAUGGCGGGGCCCGCCCCGCCCAGCGCGCGCCUGCGCCAUCCCGCUGUCAAGUCUGUUGGCCUGUGAAAUGGCUCCCGGCGUUGCCGUCUGUGCGUGCGCAAGCCUGGCGGCCACCCCCGAGCAAUGAAGCUGUUUCUGGGAAACCUCUUCCGGCUGCAGACCGACUGGUCGUCCUCUCUGCUCGCAGGGAACCGGGCGCUCGACAUCGAGGCCGCCCCCGCGUGCGGACAGGACAGAAGUGCGGCCGUGGGUGCCUUGAGGGUGUGAAGAGCCACAGCGCGCCGCCGCCUCGGCUUCCCUCCUCACAGACUGCCGGCCUCGAGGAGAAGCUGGACCAGGGCGCCACAGCCGACUGAGGCAGCCCGGGAGGAGUGCCGAGCGCUUGGGGCGGAAGAUUCCCCGCCUUGAACGUCAGCCAGCAGAGACGAGGCCGAGGAGGAGGGUCCUGAUGCGUGCAGCUCCACGGCCACGCGCGGAGGCCAUCUCGCAGAGGAGAGCAGCGCCGAGAACACAGGGCCACAGCCCUGGAUUUACCUCCAGACUGAGCAAAAGUUUUGCUUUCUGGGGCUGCAGCGGGGGGCAACAAACACGGCUGCCCUUAGAGGCCUGGAGAAAACCCACUGCAGCUGGAGGAAGGGGACAGAGGAAACCCUCAACCGCUUGGGCGAGGAGCAGGAAUACUGAAAAUGCCGCACAGGCAGUGUUUCUGUUGGUAUAAAAUUCUCAAAAACUCGGUUCAAAUAUGUUCAAGAUAGAGCUGAACCAUCUGCCUUUUCUGCAAAUUCAGUGUCCAGAGCUGCUUGAGGUGAGCAGAUGGGCCCAGGUGAGGUCGGGUCAGGUGAGCUCUGCAGGGGGCGGGUCUCCUCCCCCAGCCCUUUCCCAGCCCUCCCUGCACCUCCAAUUCUCCCGACCCUCUGUCUUCCGCCUGGCUCAGGGCAUUCGCCCCCCCCCCCCCGCCCCCGCCCCCCAGGGCAGGCCCCGCCCCCGCCCACUGCUCCCCCUCCCCUUGCUCCCAGGCCUGGCUCCGAUCACAGGGGGCGUUUAAGCUAUCCUGGAGCGGGGCCCUCCUUAGCGGGCACUGGCCACACCGCCUUUUGCCGCGUCGUUAUUCUUUCUCUGCUGUCCAAGCACGUGAAAGUGUGUUCCGGAAAGGCAACCACACAGCUCCUCCUGCGGCCACCUCGUGCUCCAGGAGCCCCUGCUGAAGAAAAUAAUUCAGAAAUACAAAGGGUGACGUCCUUGUGAGAAGCAGGGCUCACAGGGCCCCGCUGCCACCCGUGCUCCACACCAGCCGGAAGCAGCUGGCAGAAGCCUGCGAUGAAAGACGUGACCUGGAGGCACAGGCCAAGCGCGCUCAAACCCCGCCACUCAGAACCCCGUGGCCACGGUCUGCUCUCAUCUGUGAGCUGUGGCAUAUGCGCAGGGGGCCACUCAAAUGCUGCGCUGGGUGACAGCAGGCUGGCAGCCGGGAUCAGGUCUGGGGGAGGAGGCUCCAGCCCGGGCCUUGGUGGGCUGACUGUGGAUUGUCAAGACUUAAGACAGUGAUGGAGCAGAUGUGGUAACAGUUAACUUAACCUUGGCUGCGUCCUGGGACGCUGUGGUGGGAAUUGUGCUCCCCGUUUCUGCAAACUGCUGUCCAGUCCAGCUAAGAAUGGAGAGUGGAGCCUGCCCAGGGAUUUCACGUUCGUCUUUCCCACACACGCUGUGAUGGUCAGGCUGCUGUGACAUCUUGGCCAGGUAACUGUGCCCAGGUGUUUGGUCAAGCAAGCACUGGGCUAACUGUAAUACAAGGGCAUUUAUGGACUUCAUCACCAUUGACUUUACUGCCGUGGUAAGUCCUAGAUAGCUGCUUGUAGUCACACCAAUCAGGGAGAUCGCCAUCAGCAAUGAGUGAGGCUUUAUCCAAUCAGCUGAAUGCCUUAAAAGGAGAAGUGAUUCCAGCAUUGAGACUUUCCAGCUGGUCUUUGGACAGCCAACGUCUCCCAGAACUCAUCAAGAACCUUCACUGGACUUUCACCGGAGCCCCUGGUUGCUCCUGCCUGCAGAACCUGGACUUGUGCAUCCCCUUGGCUGCGUGAGGGACUCUGAUAAGUCUCUUACUAUCGACCGAUAUCCUUAGUUGAUUCUGUUUCCUUAGAGAGCCCUGACUCAUACACACGUCAAGCGAGAUAUCAGCGGGCACGAGCCCUGGACCCACACUCCACAGUCGCUGCCGAGGUGGGGGAGAACCCAGUUCACAGAAGUUCAGCAGGAAUGCAUAAAAGCAUCCUGCGAGAAUCAGUUAGUGCAAGGGAUUUACAAUAAGGAGGCCUCCAUCUUUUAUGAUUAUUUGUAAAUUGUGCACUAUGCAUCCUUUAUAUCUGUGACAUUAAAACAUACAGUGCCUGCCCUUUUAAAAAUAAGAAAAGCUAUUCUUAAACACUUACCAGCAUGCCAUUAGUUCCAACUGUGAAAAGAAACAAAACAAAAUAUAGUUACUAUGACUGAGAGAUUUAAAACGGAGCGGGGAGGCCGUGCAGGAAGCGACUCAUGCCGGUCUCAGCCGAGGACACAGCGCCACGAGCCGCUACGUCUCCCCAAGCCCUGGGACGCCCGGGUGCUGCGAGGACCUGCAGCUGGAGACCACCGGGUCCUGCCUUCCAGGCCACUUGCCAUUCACUGACCCCGUCCACUCCCUUCCAAGCAAGCACUUUAUUCCCUUCAUCUUCAUUUCACAAAAAUUUUGAGAAAUGUUCUUAAAAAGAAAGGAGGCGUAUGGAGUUGGACUCAGAUGUGACCUUCCUACACGUGCCUCUUCUGUCACUUUUACUGGAUCUGUGGUUGGUGCUGGGGUUGGUGUAUACUCAGGAGACCUGAAUCUCUGGACUGUCCAUGUGACAGCCAGGCCCUGAGCCUCAGCAGACUUGCAUCUCCUACCCUCUGGUUUAUUGGACUCACCCCGGCCAGCUAACAGGGAGGUGAAGAAGGUCAACCACCACACCAGGGAGCCAAGAGUGCCUACAACUGCAAGCAGGAGAAUUGCAUCCAGCAUCCAUGUGGAAUCUAAGCCCCUCUCAAUACAGAGGUGGAGAGGACAUCACCACCCCAGGGUCCACAGGCUGGAGGAAUAGAGUAUGGAUUAGAGUGGACUUACUGAUGUUCUACUAUGGAACUAUUGUGAUCAGUAAUGGAAAAAAUUGUAGCAUUGAGGUGGAGAAAGUGGCCACGGUAGCUGCUGAGGGUAGGGAGAGGGAAGAAGAGAUGUGAUGUAGGGGCAUUUUUAGGACUUGGAGUUGUCCUGGUG
Dasypus novemcinctus (nine-banded armadillo) is the source of this 3291-nucleotide long non-coding RNA. Lineage: Eukaryota; Metazoa; Chordata; Mammalia; Cingulata; Dasypodidae. The record is from Ensembl.